ACUUUUUUCUUGUUGCUGGCCGAAUGAUUGGUCAUUGGUUCCUACAUGAUGGGCCAUGCCUAGGUGGACUUAGCACAGCAAUCAUGCAUGUGCUCUUUGGUGGUUCCCCAGAAGAAGCCACAACUGAUCUGAAGGACUGUGCAGACCAUGAUAUCCGUGAGACACUUAAGUGGAUGGUGCAGCAGAAUUAUCAUCUGAAGAAAAAGACACCAUCAAUGUCGUGGGAUUUUCCUCGGGUCACCUCUGAGAACAGGCGAUGGCUGUUUGACAAACUGAUCUUCCAUGCUGUUCUUGGAAGAACCUCCAGACAAGUCCAGCAGUUACGACGGGUUUAAAGGACACACAGAUCUGGCCUUUGCUGAAAGAGAGAACAGACACAGCUCCUCUUCUAUUUCCAAGAACAUCUGAUAUACAGUUCACAGCACAUAUACUGCUGUCAUACAGUCCCCUGUGGAGCUGUCCUAAUAAACCCAUGCAGCGUCAUUCUGU
This is a long non-coding RNA of Girardinichthys multiradiatus, 489 nucleotides long. RefSeq lists it as uncharacterized. The transcript has 3 exons. The record is from RefSeq and is a predicted model, not a curated record. NCBI's taxonomy places the organism in Eukaryota, Metazoa, Chordata, Actinopteri, Cyprinodontiformes, Goodeidae.